GAUGAACGCUGGCGGCGUGCCUAAUACAUGCAAGUCGAACGCAUCCCGUUAAAUGAAGUGCUUGCACGGAUUUUAACAUUGGAUGAGUGGCGAACUGGUGAGUAACACGUGGGUAACCUGCCCAGAAGCGAGGGGAUAACACUUGGAAACAGGUGCUAAUACCGUAUAACAACAAAACCGCAUGGUUUUGUUGAAGGUGGUUUCGGCUAUCACUUCUGGAUGGACCCGCGGCGUAUUAG
RNAcentral lists this ribosomal RNA (239 nucleotides) under uncultured bacterium. RNAcentral describes it as "partial 16S ribosomal RNA". It matches the Rfam family "Bacterial small subunit ribosomal RNA", at positions 28 to 244 of the family's 1533-position model. The record is from RNAcentral.